This 501-nucleotide ribosomal RNA is filed under the name uncultured bacterium. RNAcentral's name for it is "partial 16S ribosomal RNA". It matches the Rfam family "Bacterial small subunit ribosomal RNA", at positions 30 to 523 of the family's 1533-position model. The record is from RNAcentral.
AUUGAACGCUGGCGGCAUGCCUUACACAUGCAAGUCGAACGGCAGCACGGGUGCUUGCACCUGGUGGCGAGUGGCGAACGGGUGAGUAAUACAUCGGAACGUACCUUAUCGUGGGGGAUAACGCAGCGAAAGUUGCGCUAAUACCGCAUACGCCCUGAGGGGGAAAGCGGGGGACCGUAAGGCCUCGCGCGAUUAGAGCGGCCGAUGUCUGAUUACCUUGUUGGUGAGGUAAAAGCUCACCAAGGCGAUGAUCAGUAGCUGGUCUGAGAGGACGAUCAGCCACACUGGGACUGAGACGCGGCCCAGACUCCUACGGGAGGCAGCAGUGGGGAAUUUUGGACAAUGGGGGCAACCCUGAUCCAGCAAUGCCGCGUGAGUGAAGAAGGCCUUCGGGUUGUAAAGCUCUUUUGUCAGGGAAGAAACAGCAGCUCCAACACAGUCUGCGAAUGACGGUACCUGAAGAAUAAGCACCGGCUAACUACGUGCCAGCCGCCGCCGUAA